GACGAACGCUGGCGGCGUGCUUAACACAUGCAAGUCGAACGGAAAGGCCCUGCUUUUGUGGGGUGCUCGAGUGGCGAACGGGUGAGUGACAUGUGUGUAACCUGCCCUUGACUUUGGGAUAACUUCAGGAAACUGGGGCUAAUACCGGAUAGGAUCUCCUGCAGCAUGGUGGGGGUUGGAAAGUUUCGGCGGUUGGGGAUGGACUGGCGGCUUAACAGCUUGUUGGUGGGGUAGUGGCUUACCAAGGCAUAGACGGGUCGCCGGCCUGUGAGGUGGGACGGGGACAUGGCUACUGAGGGAGGCAGCAGUGGGGAAUAGUGGGCAACGGGCGGAAGCAUGACACAGUGAUCGCGCGCGGGUGACGAAGGCGUUCGGGUUGGAAAGCCGUCUUGUGGGGUAAGAACAGCAGUCGGCUGAUACGACGCUUUAGUGACGGUAAUGAAUAAAGAAGCACCGGCUAACUACGUG
RNAcentral lists this ribosomal RNA (468 nucleotides) under uncultured bacterium. RNAcentral describes it as "partial 16S ribosomal RNA". It matches the Rfam family "Bacterial small subunit ribosomal RNA", at positions 28 to 507 of the family's 1533-position model. The record is from RNAcentral.